Molecule: unclassified non-coding RNA, 1633 nt
Filed under: uncultured fungus
Lineage: Eukaryota; Fungi
Description: sequence contains 18S rRNA gene, ITS1, 5.8S rRNA gene, ITS2, 28S rRNA gene
Rfam family: Eukaryotic large subunit ribosomal RNA (bases 514-1633)
Source: RNAcentral
GGAAGGAUCAUCAACAAGAAUGUUAUGCUAUGUGUUAUACUAUUGUAUGCAUAUAUGCAUGAUAUACAUACCAAUGUGAAUUGAGGGUUCAUUCCCUUUAGUUUGUGUGGUAACGCACAAUAUAAACGCUUUAAAAGAGUCUAACAAAAUAAUAUAAUAAUAACAACUUUUAACAAUGGAUCUCUUGGCUCUUGCAACGAUGAAGAACGCAGUGAAUUGCGAUAAGUAAUGUGAAUUGCAUCACUUGUGAAUCAUCAAAUCUUUGAACGCACUAGGCACUUUCCGGGUCUACUGGAGAGUAUACCUGUAUGAGUAUCAGAAAACACUCCAACUAGCGUUGGGUACUGAGGUUUAGUCAGUCAUUACCGACUAUUGCUCUAAAUGGAGGUGACGUUAGGUAUUCUUUAACGUUGAUGUCUAACAGUGCGGUAAGAAAAAGUUAGUUUUUCUCCCACUUAUUAUAACAAGACGUUAUAGAACUACUGUGUUACUCUGUGUUGCUUUAUGAAUUCUUGAUCUCAUAUCAGGUAGGAACACCCGCUGAACUUAAGCAUAUCAGUAAGCGGAGGAAAAGAAACUAACAAGGAUUCCCUUAGUAACGGCGAGUGAAGUGGGAAAAGCUCAAGUUUUAAAUCCAAGAGUUAUUAUAGCUCUUUGAGUUGUAAACUAUAGAAGCGUUUUCAAGUAUCAGCGGUAGUAAAAGUUCUUUGGAACAAGACAUCAGAGAGGGUGAGAAUCCCGUAUUUGAUUACUGUCUGUUAUGCUAUUAUGAUACGCUUUCAAAGAGUCGAGUUGUUUGGGAAUGCAGCUCAAAAUGGGUGGUAAAUUUCAUCUAAAGCUAAAUAUUGGCAAGAGACCGAUAGCGAACAAGUACCGUGAGGGAAAGAUGAAAAGAACUUUGAAAAGAGAGUUAAAUAGUACGUGAAAUUGUUAAAAGGGAAACGAUUGAAACCAGUAUUUUUAAUAGGAAUUCAGUCAUUUUCGGUGGUGGGUAGUGUUAUCAAGAAAGGCCAUAAACCUUCUUGGUGCAUUGCUAUACUGAUUGAAGAUGGUGCACUUUUUCUAUUAAAGAGUCAACAUCAGUUUCAUGUAUUGGAUAAAGGUUAGAGAAAGGUGGCCUUUUUAAAGGUUUUAUAGUCUCUUUCUGUAUAUACAAUAUGUCGGGACUGAGGAUAAUAUACAGCAGCGUAGCGCAAGCAUUUCCUUAACUGCCUAAUUGUUUUUGGCAACUGAAGACUAUAUAAUAGACUUUUGGUGUUCAAGGACUUUUAAGGUAGAGCGGGUUACAUACGCUUAAGAUGUUGACGAAAUGGUUUUAAACGACCCGUCUUGAAACACGGACCAAGGAGUCUAACGUAUAUGCAAGUAUUAGAGUGGCAAACUCUGAUGCGCAAUGAAAGUGAAUGAUGGGACUCUUUGGAUGCACCAUCAACCGAUCCUGAAGUUUUUUAAUGGAUGGAUUUGAGUAAGAGCAUAUCUGUUGGGACCCGAAAGAUGGUGAACUAUGCCUGAAUAGGGUGAAGCCAGAGGAAACUCUGGUGGAGGCUCGUAGCGGUUCUGACGUGCAAAUCGAUCGUCAAAUUUGGGUAUAGGGGCGAAAGACUAAUCGAACCAUCUAGUAGCUGGUUCCCUC